RNAcentral lists this long non-coding RNA (1051 nucleotides) under Eucalyptus grandis. RNAcentral's name for it is "long non-coding RNA (EGRA_LNC004320)". Lineage: Eukaryota; Viridiplantae; Streptophyta; Magnoliopsida; Myrtales; Myrtaceae. The record is from RNAcentral.
UGGCAAUCAUUAUCUCGAUAAAGGAAUGUGACCAGCAUUCAUAAGUCACUAUACAUACUGGGAAAUAAAAUGCCGUAUUAAUAAAAAGAUGUUGUGAAAUGCCAUGUUACAUUUUUAACAAGGCCACAUGGGACAAUAGAUGGACCGGAUAAUAAGUAUAUAAAAAAUGUAAACUCACACAUGUGGGAGAAAACCCUCAUUUUCUGUGUUUUAUUAAAAAGGGACAGGUUACAAGAAAUUAAAUGUAUAUUUUAUAUUCCUAAACCCUUAUAAAAACGUAUGAUUGAACUAGGGAGCUCUAAUAUGGUAAGUUAACUAUUGAAAAUAAAAACUGUCACUUCUGAUCUUAGAAAUAUAAAGCCUAAGGAAAAUAAAUCAAACUCGAAUUACACCGUUUGUGUCGUUGUAUUUCAUAACGAACAUAAUCUAUAAACAAAAACUAGCGGAACCGAACCGGGGAGCUUUCACAUGGACCCACAGAAAUUCCAACAUUCCAAAUAGAAAUUAUUGACGCAACUUGAAUUGCUAUACCCAAGACAAUUCGAGACUAGAGUGAGCCGAGCUCAAUCAAUCAAACUGGAAAAUCACCUUGACCAGAUAAGGACCCGAUUCGAAGCUCAGCCCCGCGACGAGACGGGCAGGGCAGUCAGUCACCUUUCCAAAAGCAGCCGCUCCAUCGGCAUUUCCCCCCGCUCGUGCGCCUAAAUGUCAGUGACGCGAGCCAUCCCUUUGAACAGGAGGAGGGAAGAGAGAAACGGGCGGUAGACCAGAAGGACAAUGACGAGCCAGAUUUGCCCCCUUCAGCAACAGCUACUGACUACAUUCCUCUCCUUCUCCACCUGCUCACACGAUCUUUCCUUCCUCAAUUCCUCUUGUCCGGACCUGAAAACUCCCACCAGCACAAGGUGUCGGAAUUCCCUGUUCGAGCCAUCGCGUUGGCGGUUGACUUCGGUUGUGGGAAAAGGGACGGCGAGUGGGUCGGUUUCACGUCGUUCUGCUUCUCCCAAACUGUUUUAACUUUUUGUCCGUGGGAGCUCCAUGCUCGAAGCUC